RNAcentral lists this transfer RNA (72 nucleotides) under Fukomys damarensis (Damara mole-rat). It matches the Rfam family "tRNA". Rfam says of the family: Transfer RNA (tRNA) molecules are approximately 80 nucleotides in length. Their secondary structure includes four short double-helical elements and three loops (D, anti-codon, and T loops). The record is from Rfam by way of RNAcentral. Lineage: Eukaryota; Metazoa; Chordata; Mammalia; Rodentia; Bathyergidae.
UGGGAAGUGGCUCAGUGGUAGAGCACUUGCCUAGCAUGUGUGAGGUCCUGGGUUCUAUCCCCAGCACCACUG